ACCGCAAAAGCUCAGCUAAUAGAGCAACUUCCCGGUGGGUGGAAGGUCACUGGUUCGAUUCCGGUUUGCGGCG
This 73-nucleotide transfer RNA is filed under the name Fasciola gigantica. It matches the Rfam family "tRNA". Rfam says of the family: Transfer RNA (tRNA) molecules are approximately 80 nucleotides in length. Their secondary structure includes four short double-helical elements and three loops (D, anti-codon, and T loops). Lineage: Eukaryota; Metazoa; Platyhelminthes; Trematoda; Plagiorchiida; Fasciolidae. The record is from Rfam by way of RNAcentral.